GACAGAGGGUGCAAACGUUGUUCGGAUUUACUGGGCGUAAAGCGCGUGCAGGCGGCUUGGCCAGUCGGAUGUGAAAGCCCACGGCUCAACCGUGGAAGCGCAUCCGAAACUGCUUCGCUCGAGUCUCGGAGAGGAAGGUGGAAUGCUUGGUGUAGAGGUGAAAUUCGUAGAUAUCAAGCAGAACACCUGCGGCGAAGGCGGCCUUCUGGACGAUGACUGACGCUGAGACGCGAAAGCGUGGGGAGCAAACAGG
This 253-nucleotide ribosomal RNA is filed under the name uncultured bacterium. RNAcentral's name for it is "partial 16S ribosomal RNA". It matches the Rfam family "Bacterial small subunit ribosomal RNA", at positions 524 to 776 of the family's 1533-position model. The record is from RNAcentral.